This 265-nucleotide ribosomal RNA is filed under the name uncultured anaerobic ammonium-oxidizing bacterium. RNAcentral's name for it is "partial 16S ribosomal RNA". It matches the Rfam family "Bacterial small subunit ribosomal RNA", at positions 565 to 828 of the family's 1533-position model. The record is from RNAcentral.
GAGCACGUAGGUGGGUUUGUAAGUCAGAUGUGAAAGCCUUCUGUUCAACGGAAGAAUUGCAUCUGAAACUACAAACCUUGAGUAUAGGAGGGGAGAAUGGAACUUCUGGUGGAGCGGUGAAAUGCGUAGAUAUCAGAAGGAACGCUGGCGGCGAAAGCGAUUCUCUGGCCUAUUACUGACACUCAGUGUGCGAAAGCUAGGGGAGCAAACGGGAUUAGAUACCCCGGUAGUCCUAGCCGUAAACGAUGGGCACUAAGUAGAGGGG